This is a non-coding RNA of Pelobates cultripes (western spadefoot toad), 220 nucleotides long. The record is from the annotation of a GenBank genome assembly. NCBI's taxonomy places the organism in Eukaryota, Metazoa, Chordata, Amphibia, Anura, Pelobatidae.
GUCAGACUCUGAAGAGUCAAAAGGCUCAGACCAUGAGGAAAACCCCGCAAACGCCCCUGGAAGAGCGAUAGUGCUACCGCCGGUAAAGGCAAAGCACCGGCUAAAACGCCUAGAUUAUCCAUUCCAGAUACUCGGGAUAAUAACCCCAAUUAUAACCUGGAUCCAUUAGAGGGUUCCACCUCCAACCUGCAACUUCAAGUGAUUGACGAAUACUGUGCAG